GCGGCCGCGGAGGAGGGGGCGACCACAAGAUGGCGGACCUCUCGCUGCUCCAGGAGGACCUGCAGGAGGACGCAGACGGAUCCCUGGACUUUGUCUCACAAGAUGAAAUGUUGACGCCCCUGGGGAGAUUGGACAAGUAUGCUGCAAGUGAGAACGUAUUUAACAGGUAUGCGCAUAUUCUUUUUGUUAAAGUGGAAGUGGAAGGGUGGUUUUAUUAAACUUCAGUAGGGAAAAUGAAAGUAUCUACUUUAAAGGAGGUAUUAUUAACAGGCACAAUCUGAGUCACCAAGUUUUAUUCAUAAUCAUAGCAUGAGCAGUUUUGUACUUGUAUAUUCUUUGAUCCUAGUAAGCAUACAGCACACUUUCUUUGCAAAAAAACUUACCAUUAAUUACCAUUGCUUUUCUGCCACUGGACAUAAUUUUGGUAUUCAUAUAAAUUGCUUAUUGGGAAGUACAUUAUUCCUUCAACACAUGAUGUU
RNAcentral lists this small RNA (479 nucleotides) under Pongo abelii (Sumatran orangutan). RNAcentral describes it as "retained intron". The record is from RNAcentral. Lineage: Eukaryota; Metazoa; Chordata; Mammalia; Primates; Hominidae.